CAUGGCUUUUUGUUAUUUAUAUAAGGUCUAACCUGCCCAAUGAUGUAAUUAAAUGGCCGCGGUAUUUUGACCGUGCAAAGGUAGCAUAAUCAUUAGUUUUUUAAUUGAAAGCUGGAAUGAAAGGUUGAAUGAGAAAAUGACUGUCUUUGUUAUAUUUAAUUAAAACUUUAUCUUUAAGUUAAAAAGCUUAAAUAUUAUUUAAAGACGAGAAGACCCUUUAGAGUUUUAUAAAAAUUUAGUUUUUGAGGUUUAAGAAUUUAAUUAUGAUAAAAUUAAUUUUUAUUUAGUUGGGGCGAUUAAAAAAUUUAAAAAACUUUUUUUUUUAUUUAACAUUAAUUUAUGAAUAUUUGAUCCAUAAAUUAUGAUUAUAAGAUUAAAUUACCUAAGGGAUAACAGCGUUAUUUUUUUUGAGAGUUCUUAUCGAAAAAAGAGAUUGCGACCUCGAUGUUGGAUUAAAAUUAAAUUAUGGUGUAGAAGCUAUAAC
This 484-nucleotide ribosomal RNA is filed under the name Meligethes semenovi. Its description in RNAcentral is "partial large subunit ribosomal RNA". It matches the Rfam family "Bacterial large subunit ribosomal RNA", at positions 1814 to 2568 of the family's 2925-position model. The record is from RNAcentral. Lineage: Eukaryota; Metazoa; Arthropoda; Insecta; Coleoptera; Nitidulidae.